Molecule: ribosomal RNA, 483 nt
Filed under: uncultured bacterium
Lineage: Bacteria
Description: partial 16S ribosomal RNA
Rfam family: Bacterial small subunit ribosomal RNA
Source: RNAcentral
AUUGAACGCUGGCGGCAGGCCUAACACAUGCAAGUCGAGCGGAUGAAGGGAGCUUGCUCCUGGAUUCAGCGGCGGACGGGUGAGUAAUGCCUAGGAAUCUGCCUGGUAGUGGGGGAUAACGUCCGGAAACGGGCGCUAAUACCGCAUACGUCCUGAGGGAGAAAGUGGGGGAUCUUCGGACCUCACGCUAUCAGAUGUGCCUAGGUCGGAUUAGCUAGUUGGUGGGGUAAAGGCCUACCAAGGCGACGAUCCGUAACUGGUCUGAGAGGAUGAUCAGUCACACUGGAACGGAGAACCGGUCCAGACCCCUACGGGAGGCAGCAGGGGGGAAUAUUGGAAAAGGGGAGAAAGCCUGACCCACCCAUGCGGCGUGGGGGAAGAAGGUCUUCGUAUUGUAAAGCACUUUAAGUGGGGGGGAGGGGAAGUAAGUUAAUACCUUGUUGUUUGGACGUUACAAAAAGAAUAAGCACCGGCUACCUUCGU